AUGAUCUUGCCCUUGUACUCUUCACUCGGUCUUGCAGGGGUUGCUGUGAGCAGCCCUGUAACAGCUGCUUUUCCUGAGUUUUUCACUGCUGCUGUGCAUGGGAACUUCUCUAGGCGAAUAAAAUGUCAUGGGAGCCAGGAGACUGGUGUUACCAAAUUGGGCCUUUACUGGCAUACAGUCACAUCUGCAACUGAACUUCGGUCACACUCCCAACUUCUCCCUGACCUUGGGAACUGCUGUCCAAGGGUUUUUGCUGUGGCAUAAGAAACGUACAUGAAGCAGAAAGGAAUGAGCCUUAGACACCCAGUGUGCCCUUUGGGAACAGAGGCCACGUUCAUCUGAUAUCCUAGCUGCUUUUCCAGGAUCCUGGCAGUGAUUUCCAGUAGCUGCAUUGCUUUGAGAGAGACUUGCAUUGCUAGAAGCCAUUCCUUUGGGAUUUUGGAAACUUAUAACAUCCAAGUUAAAUGUGAAACAUCCCAAACUUUGCCUCUUCUGACAUGUCAAUCAUACUUUUCAGGUAGCAAGAUCCUAAGCUUUUCCAUGGAAGCUCAGAGCCCUUUUAAACUUAACGCAUUUCUGCAUGUGUCAGCUUGAUAUCUUGGUCCCUUAGGGCCUCCCUACUCUUCUCUCAAAAUCUGUGGACUCACAAGACUGCCUGCUGCUACUGCCUAUGGUGUUGUCUUUGCCCUCCUGAAACCUCUGGGGGUUGGGUUGCUGUGCUGACUCCCUGCGCUCGGAAAACUCAUGGGGUGGAUUCCCAUUAAAACUCAUUAAUGGAUUCCCAUUACAACUUCUGCUGCUAGAAUGGGGUUCCCUAUCUGAAAAUGUGAAACGGGGCGGAGGCAUGCCAUAUAAUCUCCUAGAAGGUAGCCAGUGACUACAGGCUAUUUUCUAAAGGUAAAAUAACGUCGUGUUUCUUUUGUGAGACAAAAGUGUUAAUUCUUUCCAUUUUUGGUUCUGAGAAAGAGAUAUGCCUUUCCUAGCAGCAAUAUAUAUUGAAGAGUUACAAGUGGUGCAUGAGGAGUUUGGAAUAAAUCCUGCUUGGCUGAUAUUCA
Molecule: long non-coding RNA, 1055 nt
Filed under: Struthio camelus australis
Lineage: Eukaryota; Metazoa; Chordata; Aves; Struthioniformes; Struthionidae
Description: lncRNA (ENSSCUG00000015413.1)
Source: RNAcentral